This 2630-nucleotide unclassified non-coding RNA is filed under the name Eufriesea mexicana. RNAcentral describes it as "estradiol 17-beta-dehydrogenase 11-like, transcript variant X1". The record is from RNAcentral. Lineage: Eukaryota; Metazoa; Arthropoda; Insecta; Hymenoptera; Apidae.
AUUAAAAGACGGACAAGAAAAGGCAAACCAGAUAAAGAAAUCAUUGGUACGACACGCUUUAUCCUCCAAGUACAGUAUAACGUUCAACGAGUUGUGUAGUAACAUAAAUUGUAAGUAACAAAAGAAAAAUCAAAGAGCAGAGGACGAAAUAAGUAGAUAAAUAGUUGAUCGAUGCACACGCAAUUACCACACUCAUGUUGCUUGUGUACGACGGCAGAUGCGCGCAGACUUGUUUCCGGCGAUCGUCGAGAGGGUAAAGGCGUACCGGAGUCGCCGUUUCAUUCAGUAUACCAACGACUGUAGUGCCGGUGAGACGAGUAUCUCUCGAUUCGUGGGCGACUUUCGCACAGGUACACACUUUUGUGCACCUCAGUGGCUCGCUUUUUGCUUGUUCUAUCCGUGUUCCGUCUAUUUCCGUUCGGCAACGCGUGUGCCUCUUGCAACAGGAACGCAACAAGAAGAAAAUUCAUCGUUCGAUAACGAGGUCAAAAACGUGUGUGAAAGUAGUGGCACUCGCUUCAGUAUCGUCUAGAUUUUGGUCCUAGUCGCAACAACGUUCUUUAUUCCUGAAAGCUUUACUACAUGCGGUUUCUAAACUACGACCAAUUAUGACAUCCUGAUAGAUCAAGCUCCUACAGUUACAAAAGAGUCGCGUGACGUGAUAAAACGUUGGAAUUUUAACCGAUACAAGCUGGGUCGAAGCUAUUUGAAAAUUUAACCAAGUAAAAAGAACGGCAGCCAUGUCGUUUCUCAGAUCCAUUGGAGAUCUGAUCGGUUUCCUCAUCCUCACCCUGGUGUCCAUAUUCGAAAGCAUCAUCAAAACGUUCAUCCCGGCAAAAUACAAGAUGAAGAGCAUCAUCAGGGAGGUCGUCCUGGUGACUGGGGGUGGCGGCGGCUUGGGAAGGUUGAUCACCCUCAGGCUAGCCAAUCUAGGCGCCAUCAUGGUCAUCUGGGACGUUAAUCAGGAGGGUAUCGAGGAGACUGUCAAGCUGGUGGGAGCCUCGGGUGGUAUCUGUUACGGUUACAUUUGCGAUCUAUGCAAUCGAGAAGAUAUUUAUAAGAAAGCGAUGCUAGUCGAGGAAGAAGUUGGAAAGGUGACCAUUUUGAUAAACAACGCUGGCGUGGUGAGCGGCACGAAAUUUUUGGAUACGCCAGACAAGCUCAUUAUCCGAACGAUGAAUGUAAACGUGAUGAGCCACUUUUGGACAACAAAGGCAUUUUUACCUUCGAUGAUGAAAGACAAUAAAGGUCACAUUGUGAGUAUCGCUAGUCUUGCUGGGCACAUAGGGGUACCAAAAUUAGUGGAUUAUUGCACUUCAAAGUUUGCUGCAAUUGGAUUCGAGGAGGCCCUUCAUAUGGAAUUAGCUGCUGAUGGAUAUAAUAUCAAUACUACAGUGGUAUGCCCAUUUUUCAUUCGAAGCACAGGCAUGUUUGAUGACGUUUCAACUAGAUUUUUACCGAGACUCAGUCCAAAUGAAGUGGCAGAUCGAGUAGUGUAUGCUAUAAGAUGUAACGAAAAGAUCGCUGUAGUGCCGCGUUACCUUCACGUGCUUCUUAUUGCAAAAUGGUUAUUUCCAUGGGCUUCCGCAGGUAUGUUUAUACGAGGUAUAAUUUCAGAGAAUGUUCCAUGUCAUAAACCAUCGAGCAAUACUACCAACAAAGAAAAAAUCGUUCCCGUUAUGGUACCCAAGAAAUCGGAGAACACAAUUAUUCGUGAAAAAUUGACCAGACGUAUCGCCAAUUCUGAGAGGAAGCCUUAAUGGCUUUGUGAUCAACAAGUUUGCAAAUUUUACAUAUCCAACGUAUUUUCGAUUUCUUUCUCCUUUUCUGUAUAAAUGACGUAUGUAUAAAAGUUAGGAAAUAUUUUAACUAACAUACGAUAACAGCCAUGUUACUAAGAUGAAAGGCUCAGUUCGUUCGAAUUUUAAUGCACGUUAAAGAAACUUGUUUUCACAGCGAGUUGCUGUGUAAAAUUAAGACAAGUUUUGUAAAAGAAGAAGCGAGAAGUUGUAGAACUACUAUUCCCCAAAGACACGACCUCCAUAGAGAAAGAAAGAUUGAUUCCAGGGAAUACACUUUGGUAGUGUGUUGUCUUCUGGAAAGUACUGCACAAUAUUAAUGAAGAUUUAUAUAUUUCGAUGUUACUGGGUAUUUCUGUAAUGUUUUGUACAAUAAUAAUAUUUUAUAGUACAGUAAUGAAAUUGAUAGUUACAAGUUUAAUAUUAUAAGUAAGAACGAUUGAUCUAGGCAACACGGGUACAAUUUUUACAAUUGGCUCUAUGUGAUACAAUGAGCAAUGAUAGUAAUGUAAGGAUAGCGUGAGAUUUGUUACUUGUAACUCAUGGCUGUAAAAGAACAAGUGUAUAUUUAUCUAGCGUAUGUAACAAACUUGGCGAAUUGUCACGGAAAAAAGAAAGAAAAAUUGCAGAUGUCCAACAAAAAAAAUAAAGAUUGUGUCAUUUGUACGUAUUGACCCACUUAAACUACCGACUUACGAGAUGAAACUUGUUGAUUCGAAACAACUAUAUGCAACUAUACCGUUAUCAUUUUAUAAUGGUGUGCCAUAUGUCUACUCUAAUAUACGAAUGAUUGUUUUAUACAUAGAUACUGUAAUAAAAUUACACACUUUA